This 496-nucleotide ribosomal RNA is filed under the name uncultured bacterium. RNAcentral's name for it is "partial 16S ribosomal RNA". It matches the Rfam family "Bacterial small subunit ribosomal RNA", at positions 28 to 507 of the family's 1533-position model. The record is from RNAcentral.
GACGAACGCUGGCGGCGUGCCUAAUACAUGCAAGUUGAGCGCUGAAGGUUGGUACUUGUACCAACUGGAUGAGCAGCGAACGGGUGAGUAACGCGUGGGGAAUCUGCCUUUGAGCGGGGGACAACAUUUGGAAACGAAUGCUAAUACCGCAUAAAAACUUUAAACACAAGUUUUAAGUUUGAAAGAUGCAAUUGCAUCACUCAAAGAUGAUCCCGCGUUGUAUUAGCUAGUUGGUGAGGUAAAGGCUCACCAAGGCGAUGAUACAUAGCCGACCUGAGAGGUUGUCCGGCCACAUUGGACUGAGACACGGCCCAAACUCCUACGGGAGGCAGCAGUAGGGAAUCUUCGGCAAUGGACGAAAGUCUGACCGAGCAACGCCGCGUGAGUGAAGAAGGUUUUCGGAUCGUAAAACUCUGUUGGUAGAGAAGAACGUUGGUGAGAGUGGAAAGCUCAUCAAGUGACGGUAACUACCCAGAAAGGGACGGCUAACUACGUG